Molecule: non-coding RNA, 132 nt
Organism: Erinaceus europaeus (western European hedgehog)
Lineage: Eukaryota; Metazoa; Chordata; Mammalia; Eulipotyphla; Erinaceidae
Source: Rfam
AAAAAGGGCUUCUGUCGUGAGUGACACACAUAGGGCAGCUCGUUUGCUCUACGUGCAGAAUCGACAUCCAUGAUUUUGGAAUCAUGGUUUUUGUUGUUUGAGCAGCUGGUGAUCGUGGAUCCUGUAAAAUAA